AAACUUUUUUUUUUCUUUCGCGUUUCAGUUUUUCUCAACCCUCUCUCUUUUCUCUUUGUUUUCUCCGACGGCGAAUCUCUUUGAGCUUCAUUUCCGGCGAUGUACAUCAUCAAAUCGGAAGUAAAAAGCGAAGCAACGUUGUAAACAAUAAGCCGUGAUGCUCAUCUCCACCGUCGGCGUGGUCACCAACAGAAGUUCGUUGACCUAAUCAGUGGGUUCUGCAAAUCAAAUCGGAGAGAAAGGCGAUUCCAGUGGCUCCAAUCGCUUCCUCACGGUGGUAUAACGCAGAAGAGGAGAUUCUUGGGAAGAAAAUAAAAGUACUUUAGUUUGUUUUGUCUUUUUCUUGUGGAUUACAGUAUUAUAGUGGGAAGCGAUCAAGGCAUAAGAGGGAUGAUCAUGGUACUAUCAUGGUACUGGAGACAAGCAUCAAGAUAACAGUGAUGAUGUUGGCGACAGGCUUCUCACUUCUGGAGAUGACUACACUAAAGAUGAAAAAUAAGGGGGAGAAAAGCAGAGAUAAAUAUCGGGAAGACAAAGAAGAAGACAUCAAACAUAAAGGUGACAAGAGAGGAAAUUAUUGUUUCUUUUGUUUCUGUUAUGUGAUCAAUGUAAGAGACUUUCAUUGUCUCUCAGUUUUUAAAAUGAAUGAAUACAGCUUUGAGUUUAACUUUGGCUUUGGCUUUG
Molecule: long non-coding RNA, 684 nt
Organism: Arabidopsis lyrata subsp. lyrata
Lineage: Eukaryota; Viridiplantae; Streptophyta; Magnoliopsida; Brassicales; Brassicaceae
Exons: 2
Source: RefSeq, a predicted model, not a curated record